CACAUCCUGUGCUCAGUCUCCAGUAUGAGCAUGCUUUAAUUUUCCUUACUUUUGUCUUAACAUCAGCUGAAUGGAGUGUUCAUUUUGGUCAUUCAGUUUUGUUUUAUUAUUAUUAUUUUUAUUUAACUAAUAUUAAUUUAUUAAUAGCCUUCUCUAACCUUUUAUAAGAAUCUUUUCUACAUUCAACAUGGCACAAAGACAGAAGAGAGAUGGAACAUUUUCAUAUGCAGCAAAACAAUCCACAGACUCCAUUACAAGGUUUAGAUUCAUUGUGUUUGGAAGUGAUGAGGUUCUGAUAAAUGAAGCUUGUGACACUAUUCUUAGAUCAGCAGAUAGAAUGGAUAGCACUAAAUAUGGGACAUGUGAGUUUAGAGAGGCGUGUGUAAGCGGACGACAUGUCUCUGUAGUAAAAACUCCUGCUUAUGGGCUGGAACACUUGAAAACUUACCUGACCUUCAGAAACAGAGUCAGAUCUAUGAAAAUAGACAUGGAGUUUUGUUACUCACUGGUCUUUCCUGGGCCUCAUGCUUUUUUUUUAGUGCUUGGCGAUGUACAUAACUCUGGUAAAGAGCAUUACAUUUUACGAGCUCUCAGUGAAGUGUUUGGCCAGGAGGCAUUAGACUACAGUAUGGUCUUAUUUAUGCAUGAAUACAAGGACAGUGAUAUAGGCAGCAACCGAUGUGUGAAAAAGUGCAGGAAAAGGUUCCACAUUUUAAAGAACAAUGAGGAAAAUGUUCUAAAGCUAUUCCAUGACGCUACUGAGACAAUGAUAAAGCAGAGAAAGGGGAGCUUUUUUACGAAGGAUUUUGACUUGCUAGACAAAGCUGAAGCUUAUUUUAAGACAGAAUUUGAUGCUUAAUAUGAGGAGCGAGAGAGUAUACUGAGAGGAAAUUUGGCAGAAAUGAAAACAACAGAGGAAAAUCUAAGAACAAAAGUUACAGAAAUGGAAAGAAAGAAUUCUGAAAACAUGAGAGAAUUACAAGAUCUGCAUAAAGAACUGGAUGCUCAUAAAGCCAGAAUGAAUCAGUUAAACAAGGAAUUAGAUGAUUCCCAAAGCAGAGAGAAUCAUUUAAGUCAACAGAUGGAUGCUCUCAAAAAGAAAAAAUAUGAACUGAAGGAGGAGCUGUAUGCCCUCAGGUAUUACAAGAGACAGUUAGAUGUAGAACUGAUGGCUUUCAAUGAGAGAGAGAGAGAAAAAUUCCUGCCCACAAAAAUACAGUUAGAGCAUAACAGAUUACAGGAGCAAAGAGAAGCAGGCCUACAGGCUCCUGCGCAAGAAGAGCAUGACAGACAAAAAACUUUAGAUAAAAGAGAGGUGGAGCUAGAUGAGAGAGAGAAAAAACUGCUGCAGACCACUGGAUCACAGCAUGUUGAUCACAUCUCUACAGCUGUUACUCCCUCUUGUGUCAUAGUGUCUGAAGACAAACCCAAAUCUCAAGAAGACACUGGAUCACCUGAGUCUGAAGGAUUGAAACUUGUGAGACAAGACAGCAAGAAAUUAGCUCCACCUAAUAUGUCUGAAAACAAAGUCAAACCUCAGAGUGAAAGAAAAUGUGAGAUGGAAAGUAGAAUAACAGAUUCACAAACCAGCAGAUCGCUUAAAGGUGAAGUACUGAAACCUGUGAGACGGAACAGCAUUCGAGAUCGACCCAGCAUGUCUGAAGACACACUCAAACCUCAAGAAAACACUGGAUACCUUGAGUUUGAAGGACUGGAAAUUAAUUGUGUGACAAAACAGCAAGGAAAUACUGUAGAUUCACUUAAUGUUUUCUGGAGUGAAGAGUGCCAGUAUCCCUCAGAACUGAGUUCUGAGUUCUAGCAUGUAAUGGGAAAUGCUUCAUGUACUCCCACAUGAUAGCAGUGCAUGUGUUUCAUGAACUGUAAGACAUAUAUUUGUACAUCGCAUAUUUGUACUUUAGUAACUAUAUUAGUAAGCAAAAGCUAAUGUCUGUAACUGGUUUUGAUAUGGUUUUUGAUGUUUUCUCAGAAUAUUUUAUGUGUAUAAGUUCUGUUAAAUCUGGCAUUAACAGGUAUGUUGAUCACAGUUACAAUGAGCAUCUUUUUUUCAUGAAAAAUGUGGUUUAGAGGAGAUUGAACACAAAAUGAAAUUUUAAAUCCUUGGUGAUUAAUCAUAUCAUCUGAUCACAUGCCUGUGUAACUGUUUUCAUUAUUGUGAAAUAGGAAACCUUGUCUAAAGUACUCCCUUGAAGGUUUUAAACUUUGAACUAAACUGAGCAUUAAUGUGAUCUUUUUUAUAAAGCCUGUAAAGUUUUGUAGGAUUGUACAUUAACAUGCUAUAUGUAAAUAAAUAAUGGCAUAGGCUUAUUAUUUAACA
Molecule: long non-coding RNA, 2335 nt
Organism: Cyprinus carpio (common carp)
Lineage: Eukaryota; Metazoa; Chordata; Actinopteri; Cypriniformes; Cyprinidae
Source: Ensembl